UACAGAGGGGGCAAGCGUUGUUCGGAAUUACUGGGCGUAAAGGGCGCGUAGGCGGCCUUCUAAGUCGAACGUGAAAUCCCUGGGCUCAACCCAGGAACUGCGUCCGAUACUGGAAGGCUUGAAUCCGGGAGAGGGAUGCGGAAUUCCAGGUGUAGCGGUGAAAUGCGUAGAUAUCUGGAGGAACACCGGUGGCGAAGGCGGCAUCCUGGACCGGUAUUGACGCUGAGGCGCGAAAGCGUGGGGAGCAAACGGG
This 253-nucleotide ribosomal RNA is filed under the name uncultured bacterium. RNAcentral describes it as "partial 16S ribosomal RNA". It matches the Rfam family "Bacterial small subunit ribosomal RNA", at positions 524 to 776 of the family's 1533-position model. The record is from RNAcentral.